AUUUAUUUGGGGUUGUCUGGUAUGAGUGACAGAGCCACGCUGUAGUCACUUACUGUGGCAGUUUAUCUGUGGGUGGCAGUUUUCUGUAGUCCUUGACGGUGACGCUUCAGAACAUUUUCCUUACAAAGUCCAGCUGGCUUAUAUGGCUAGAAUAGGAAAAUCGAAUUGGUUGUUUACUGAUUUUUUUUUAAAUUCCCAUUAAAGAUUUGAUGUUAAGAAUACUUUAAAUAAACAUGAUUGAUUAAUAUAAUGGUUGGCUUAGAAUCCAUUGUGUGUCAUUGAAAGCCACUGUAUGCUAGCCUUAUCGGCUCCUGGUAUUUGUCUGUCAAGUGGGUGCCUCUUCAGCAAGCUUCUCUUGUGUCCUAACACUUCCCUGUUCAGUGAAAUCUCCUUAUGUCUGUAUGUGAG
Molecule: long non-coding RNA, 408 nt
Filed under: Androctonus crassicauda
Lineage: Eukaryota; Metazoa; Arthropoda; Arachnida; Scorpiones; Buthidae
Source: RNAcentral